This 465-nucleotide ribosomal RNA is filed under the name Vreelandella stevensii. RNAcentral describes it as "partial 16S ribosomal RNA". It matches the Rfam family "Bacterial small subunit ribosomal RNA", at positions 338 to 795 of the family's 1533-position model. Lineage: Bacteria; Pseudomonadati; Pseudomonadota; Gammaproteobacteria; Oceanospirillales; Halomonadaceae. The record is from RNAcentral.
CCUACGGGUGGCAGCAGUGGGGAAUAUUGGACAAUGGGCGAAAGCCUGAUCCAGCCAUGCCGCGUGUGUGAAGAAGGCCUUCGGGUUGUAAAGCACUUUCAGUGGGGAAGAAAGCCUUGGGUCUAAUACCCUCGAGGAAGGACAUCACCCACAGAAGAAGCACCGGCUAACUCCGUGCCAGCAGCCGCGGUAAUACGGAGGGUGCGAGCGUUAAUCGGAAUUACUGGGCGUAAAGCGCGCGUAGGCGGUCUGAUAAGCCGGUUGUGAAAGCCCCGGGCUCAACCUGGGAACGGCAUCCGGAACUGGCAGGCUUGAGUGCAGGAGAGGAAGGUAGAAUUCCCGGUGUAGCGGUGAAAUGCGUAGAGAUCGGGAGGAAUACCAGUGGCGAAGGCGGCCUUCUGGACUGACACUGACGCUGAGGUGCGAAAGCGUGGGUAGCAAACAGGAUUAGAUACCCUAGUAGUC